This 85-nucleotide transfer RNA is filed under the name Planctomycetota bacterium. RNAcentral describes it as "tRNA-Leu". It matches the Rfam family "tRNA". From Rfam's summary of the family: Transfer RNA (tRNA) molecules are approximately 80 nucleotides in length. Their secondary structure includes four short double-helical elements and three loops (D, anti-codon, and T loops). Lineage: Bacteria; Pseudomonadati; Planctomycetota. The record is from RNAcentral.
GCGAGGGUGGCGGAAUUGGCAGACGCGCAGGAUUUAGGAUCCUGUCUCUUCGGAGGUGGGGGUUCAAGUCCCCCCUCUCGCACCA